UACGGAGGGCGCGAGCGUUAAUCGGAAUUACUGGGCGUAAAGAGCGCGUAGGCGGGAUAGCAAGUCAGAUGUGAAAUCCUAUGGCUUAACCAUAGAACUGCAUUUGAAACUAUUAUUCUUGAGUGCAGGAGAGGAAAGUGGAAUUCCUAGUGUAGCGGUGAAAUGCGUAGAUAUUAGGAAGAACACCGGUGGCGAAGGCGACUUUCUGGACUGUAACUGACGCUGAUGCGCGAAAGCGUGGGGAGCAAACAGG
This 253-nucleotide ribosomal RNA is filed under the name uncultured bacterium. RNAcentral's name for it is "partial 16S ribosomal RNA". It matches the Rfam family "Bacterial small subunit ribosomal RNA", at positions 524 to 776 of the family's 1533-position model. The record is from RNAcentral.